GUUAGUUCAGAUGGUAGAGCGCUUCACUGAAAAUGUAGAGGUCCCUAGUUCAAUACCAGGAC
Molecule: transfer RNA, 62 nt
Filed under: Ixodes scapularis (black-legged tick)
Lineage: Eukaryota; Metazoa; Arthropoda; Arachnida; Ixodida; Ixodidae
Rfam family: tRNA
About the family: Transfer RNA (tRNA) molecules are approximately 80 nucleotides in length.
Source: Rfam by way of RNAcentral